UACGGAGGGGGCUAGCGUUGUUCGGAAUUACUGGGCGUAAAGGGCUCGUAGGCGGCCAACUAAGUCGGACGUGAAAUCCCCAGGCUCAACCUGGGAACUGCGUCCGAUACUGGAUGGCUUGAAUUCGGGAGAGGGAUGCAGAAUUCCAGGUGUAGCGGUGAAAUGCGUAGAUAUCUGGAGGAAUACCGGUGGCGAAGGCGGCAUCCUGGACCGACAUUGACGCUGAGGAGCGAAAGCUAGGGGAGCAAACGGG
This 253-nucleotide ribosomal RNA is filed under the name uncultured bacterium. Its description in RNAcentral is "partial 16S ribosomal RNA". It matches the Rfam family "Bacterial small subunit ribosomal RNA", at positions 524 to 776 of the family's 1533-position model. The record is from RNAcentral.